Long non-coding RNA from Anneissia japonica, 295 nucleotides. RefSeq lists it as uncharacterized. The record is from RefSeq and is a predicted model, not a curated record. The transcript is spliced from 3 exons. NCBI's taxonomy places the organism in Eukaryota, Metazoa, Echinodermata, Crinoidea, Comatulida, Comatulidae.
GUCUUCAAGAACAAGGUGAGGUUGCCAGGUGGACCUGUCUUUCAUGGAGAUUCUUGUCAGGUGCAUGAUAUUCAGCUUAAUGGCUAUGCACACUAUUCUAGGGAACUUUUUGAAUGCCCAGGGAACAGAGCCGAUAGAAUGGGCCAACAACAUAAUCUGGAUACAUCGGUUUUUCAAAUGGAACCCGGAAGAAAUCUACACGGCCAUGACCUCUUCCUUGUCAAGGUAACAAAUGCUUAUAUUCAAAUAUUCUGGACAGCGAACGAAAGAGGAAAAGGGAGGCCCAGAAGAGGAG